GAUGAACGCUGGCGGCGUGCCUAAUACAUGCAAGUCGAGCGAACGGACGAGAAGCUUGCUUCUCUGAUGUUAGCGGCGGACGGGUGAGUAACACGUGGAUAACCUACCUAUAUGACUGGGAUAACUUCGGGAAACCGGAGCUAAUACCGGAUAAUAUUUUGAACAGCAUGGUUGAAAAGUGAAAGACGGUCUUGCUGUCACUUAUAGAUGGAUCCGCGCUGCAUUAGCUAGUUGGUAAGGUAACGGCUUACCAAGGCAACGAUGCAUAGCCGACCUGAGAGGGUGUUGGCCCACACUGGAACUGAGCCACGGUCCAGACUCCUACGGGAGCAAGAAGAAGGGAACCUUCCGCAAUGGGCGAAAGCCUGACGGAGAAACGCCGAGUGAGUGAUGAUGGUCUUCGGAUCUUAAAACUCUGUUAUUAGGGAAGAACAUAUGUGUAAGUAAAUGUGCACAUAUUGACGGUACCUAAUCAGAAAGCCACGGCUAACUACGUG
This 497-nucleotide ribosomal RNA is filed under the name uncultured bacterium. Its description in RNAcentral is "partial 16S ribosomal RNA". It matches the Rfam family "Bacterial small subunit ribosomal RNA", at positions 28 to 507 of the family's 1533-position model. The record is from RNAcentral.